RNAcentral lists this ribosomal RNA (532 nucleotides) under uncultured bacterium. RNAcentral describes it as "bacterial SSU rRNA". It matches the Rfam family "Bacterial small subunit ribosomal RNA", at positions 94 to 652 of the family's 1533-position model. The record is from RNAcentral.
AGUGGCGGACGGGUGAGUAACACGUUGGCACCUACCCCGAAGUAGGGAAUAGCUCGGAGAAAUCCGGAUUAAUACCCUAUAGUCUCGCAAGAGUAAAGCUCCGGCGCUUCGGGAAGGGCCUGCGCAUGAUUAGCUAAUUGGUGAGGUAAAGGCUCACCAAGGCGACGAUCAUUAGCUGGUCUGAGAGGAUGAUCAGCCACACUGGGACUGAGACACGGCCCCGACUCCUACGGGAGGCAGCAGUAGGGAAUCUCUCCACAAUGGGGCGUAAGCCUGAUGGAGCAACGCCCCGUGCGGGAUGAAAGGUUUUCGGGGCGUAAACUGUUUUUUAUAUGGGAAAAAUAUGACGGUACCAUAUGAAUAAACCUUUGGCUAACUCCGUGCCAGCAGCCCCGGGUAAUACCGAGAAAGCAAGCGUUACCCGGGAAUUACUGGGCGUAAAGCGUUGCGUAAGGCGGUUUAUCAAGUGAAGUGCGAAAUCCUGUGGCUCAACCACAGGCUUGUAUUUCAAACUGACUAACUAGAGGACAGU